GUGGGGAAUCUUGCGCAAUGGGCGAAAGCCUGACGCAGCCAUGCCGCGUGAAUGAUGAAGGUCUUAGGAUUGUAAAAUUCUUUCACCGGGGACGAUAAUGACGGUACCCGGAGAAGAAGCCCCGGCUAACUUCGUGCCAGCAGCCGCGGUAAUACGAAGGGGGCUAGCGUUGCUCGGAAUUACUGGGCGUAAAGGGCGCGUAGGCGGACAGUUUAGUCAGAGGUGAAAGCCCAGGGCUCAACCUUGGAAUUGCCUUUGAUACUGGCUGUCUUGAGUACGGGAGAGGUGAGUGGAACUCCGAGUGUAGAGGUGAAAUUCGUAGAUAUUCGGAAGAACACCAGUGGCGAAGGCGACUCACUGGCCCGUUACUGACACUGAGGUGCGAAAGCGUGGGGAGCAAACAGGAUUAGAAACCCUGGUAGUCC
This 425-nucleotide ribosomal RNA is filed under the name uncultured bacterium. RNAcentral's name for it is "partial 16S ribosomal RNA". It matches the Rfam family "Bacterial small subunit ribosomal RNA", at positions 354 to 796 of the family's 1533-position model. The record is from RNAcentral.